CUCACCUAGAGGUUUGAGACAAGACAUAAAUGGAUUCACACUUGUAAAUUUUUCAAGGUUGAUGCAUACUGGUGUGUUAUUGAAAGAUGAUCCAUUUAUUUUUUCAUCUCAAGCUCGACACGUGUUUUUUGUGCAAGACUCAAAAGAUAAAAAUUGGUCUCUUGUUAUUAAGACGAAACCUAUGGACUUGUAUGAUAUGGAAAAAAGGUUGGAAGAGGAGGACGAUGAUACUUAUACUCAGUGUAUGCCUUAUAAUGUUGUGCCAACUGAUGAAAGUAAAUGCGCCAACGAGUUUGAUUAGGAUGGAUGUUGAAUGAGAAUGUAGUUUCAUAAUGGUAACAAUAUGCCCCGAGGAAGAUGAUUUAGAGAUGUGGAGUUCCAGCAUUCUCAGGUGGGAUCUACUUCUGAGUAGUCCCUGCAGUCCCAGCAGCCAUGUGAGCACCAGCAGCAAGAGUCAGAAUCUCAGCGCGAGCCUCCUGCUGAUUGUCCGGAGGAUGAGCUCCGGAUCCAGGAUGGACAAGGGACAGUGAGGACGAGACGGGGACCCA
This is a non-coding RNA of Phoenix dactylifera (date palm), 548 nucleotides long. NCBI's taxonomy places the organism in Eukaryota, Viridiplantae, Streptophyta, Magnoliopsida, Arecales, Arecaceae. The record is from RefSeq and is a predicted model, not a curated record.